This 758-nucleotide ribosomal RNA is filed under the name uncultured bacterium. Its description in RNAcentral is "bacterial SSU rRNA". It matches the Rfam family "Bacterial small subunit ribosomal RNA", at positions 8 to 796 of the family's 1533-position model. The record is from RNAcentral.
AGAGUUUGAUCCUGGCUCAGAAUCAACGCUGGCGGCGUGCCUAACACAUGCAAGUCGAGCGAGAAAGUGGUAGCAAUACCAUGAGUAAAGCGGCGCACGGGUGAGUAACACGUGACUAACCUACCCUCGAGUGGGGAAUAACUUCGGGAAACCGAGGCUAAUACCGCAUAAUACCCACGGGUCAAAAGAGCAAUCUGCUUGAGGAGGGGGUCGCGGCCGAUUAGUUAGUUGGCGGGGUGAUGGCCCACCAAGACGAUGAUCGGUAUCCGGCCUGAGAGGGCGCACGGACACACUGGAACUGAAACACGGUCCAGACUCCUACGGGAGGCAGCAGUGGGGAAUUUUGCGCAAUGGGGGAAACCCUGACGCAGCAACGCCGCGUGGAGGAUGAAGUCCUUCGGGACGUAAACUCCUUUCGAUCGGGACGAUUAUGACGGUACCGGAAGAAGAAGCCCCGGCUAACUUCGUGCCAGCAGCCGCGGUAAUACGAGGGGGGCGAGCGUUGUUCGGAAUUAUUGGGCGUAAGGGGUGCGUAGGCGGUUUGGUAAGUCUCUUGUGAAAUCUAUGGGCUCAACUCAUAGUCUGCAAGGGAAACUGCCGGGCUUGAGUGUGGGAGAGGUGAGUGGAAUUUCCGGUGUAGCGGUGAAAUGCGUAGAUAUCGGAAGGAACACCUGUGGCGAAAGCGGCUCACUGGACCACAACUGACGCUGAUGCACGAAAGCUAGGGGAGCAAACAGGAUUAGAUACCCUAGUAGUCC